CAGACCACUGUGACCUGUGGAGAAGUGUUUCGUCUCCAAAACAAGUACCAUGAUAUCCACCCCAGGGGAGUGUUGCAAAGCAAUAAAUAAGCAGACAGUCUUGGUAAGGGGCGGGAGGAACGGACGCAACAAGGAGAAAGGAAGCAACGGAAGGUCUUUGGCUGCUAAAAAAAUGUAACUGACAAAGAUUCCAGGGCUGUUUGUAUUUUUCUUCCUCUAU
Long non-coding RNA from Symphalangus syndactylus (siamang), 220 nucleotides. RefSeq lists it as uncharacterized. Lineage: Eukaryota; Metazoa; Chordata; Mammalia; Primates; Hylobatidae. The record is from RefSeq and is a predicted model, not a curated record.